This is a long non-coding RNA of Phyllostomus hastatus (greater spear-nosed bat), 873 nucleotides long. RefSeq lists it as uncharacterized. Lineage: Eukaryota; Metazoa; Chordata; Mammalia; Chiroptera; Phyllostomidae. The transcript has 3 exons. The record is from RefSeq and is a predicted model, not a curated record.
UUUACCCACCCGGCCACGCCUGGAAAGCAGGUCCGCACCCCAUCCGGGGGGCGUGCUUUGGGGUCCAUACAAGGCGCGCUGAAGUCACACUAACGUGCAGUAACGACCGAAGUUUCACUUUCCAUUUACCGGCUGACAAAAUUAGGAAACUUAGGAAACUUUGACAUGGUUAAUUCGGAUAUAACAUAAAAUAGUGACAAUCCAAACUGCCCAGGCACGAUCACCGUUGGUCUAGUGCAAGAUUUGUUCAACUUGUCUUUUCUUUAUGAAAGAGAUGUAGCUUUUAUUUCCUGCAGCAAGGAACUAGCAGACAUUAUGGAGAACAUGAAAUGACGACUCACAAAAAUGGGAGAAGAUAUUUGCAAAUCGUAUGUCAGAUGGGGGUCUGGUGUCCAUAAUAUAUAAGGAAGUCUUACAACCCGACAACAAAAAUGUAACUCAAUCGCACACUGGUCCAGGGACUUGAACAGGCAUUUCUCUGCAGAAAAUAUGCAAGUGGCCGGCAAGCUCACGAGAAGUUGCUCAGCGCCGUUCGAGGAUGCGGGUCAAAACCACAGCGAGAGAGCUCACGCCAACUAGAGAAAAAUGGAGGAAGCCGUGGGAACAGCCAAACCCCUCAGCAGUGACUGUGAAAACGCAACGUGGUCCACUGUCACAGGGGACUGCCACUCAGCCACAGACAGGGACGGAGCGCAGACACGUACUACAGUGUGAGUGCGCCGUGGAAACGCUGUGCCAAGUGACAGGAGCCCGGCGUGGAAGGCACUGUACCGCGGUGAUUCUAUGUAUCGGGAGUAUCUGUCAGGUAUAGGACAGAAAACCUUUAAAAAAAUAAACAAAAUAAACUGCCAACAGGAAUUUAAAAAAAAAGCU